CUGCUGGGGACUAAUAUGGAGGCGCCAAAGGGAUUUCAAAAAAAUAAGAUUUAUAUUGUGGCUCAGAAGCAUCCACUAUGGUCAAACCUGACUCAUUCUUCUUCUUUCUGUGAAAAGAAGCUUACAGUGAAUGUGGACCCAAGUGACAAACAAGACUUGACAGAUCAUCAGUCUGUACCCUGAAUAGAUUUUUUUUCCGUAUGAUAAUCCUGCAAAGUCUAGUGCAAGCCUGGUGUCCUGGUGUUAGAGGGACAGAAAUGUUAGAAUUGAGGGAAAAACAAAUCUGUCGUUGUUGAAGGAACAUCACUAGGAUCUCAAACCCAGAACCCACAGCUUGGGGAGGAGACGAUAGGAAUUUUAAAAUAACUCGCUGAAUAUUUUUAAAAGGAUUUUAGGAGUAAAAACUUAGAGUAGGUGUGUGGCCAUUCUACAUUUAGCCUAAAAAUUCGUAAAGAAAUAGGAAAAAGUGAAUCAUAGAAAGAAGCCAGAAGAAAUUGAUCUCAAAUUCAUCUCUAGGAUCACCUGAGGACCAGUGUCAUAGACAUCUUCCUUAUUUAAAUCGUCCUGGAGAGCAAGUCACACAAACUCCUUCAGUUGCUCCCUGCAAUAUUGAGCGACUAUUACUGUCAGAAAGUUCUUCCUUAUGUGUAACCUCAUGUCUCAUGGUGCGUGUUAAAAACCAUUCUCUCUUGCAUAGUUUUCACUGGAGAUAAAAUCAGCUAGAUCCCAACCUCCAUGGGAUAAGGAGAAAGAACUGAAGAGAAAACAAAGUUUAAAUGAUGUUGCGAGUACAUUUCGAUUAAGUGUGAACUUACUCAAAGCAUUCUUGGUAACAUCCUUGAUGAUGGAUUUAGACCAUAGGAUUUGCUAUGUCUCAAGACAGAGCUGGGUGUCUGACCACCACUUCACGGACUUGUGUAUAAGCCAGCAACCUCAAAGGCUGUGCAAUGGAGAGGCCUCCAUGGCAAUGAAUGCCGGCAGGCUCAAGGAGCUGAGAGCAGACUCUGCUGACAACCAGCCAGAAGAUGGGAGCCUCUGUCUUAGGACUGCAAGGAACUGAAUUCGGCCAACUGACCAGGAAGAAAAUUCUUCUCCAGAGCCUCUAGAUGAGGACGCAGGCUGGCCAGCUUGGUGAUCUUAGGCUUGUGAUACUCUGAACGGAGAACCCAGUCGCAUUGUGCUGAACUUCCGAAAUACAGAACUGUGGCAUAAUAAACGGGUAUUGUUUUAAGGGGCCAAAUUUAUGGUAAUUUGUUGUAUAGCAAUAGAAAACUAAUAAACUGCCACUCACAAAUGUUGAUUGAAUGCUUAUUAUGUGCAAGACAAUAAUUUUUAUUUCAGAUCAUUUUAUUUUGUGUCUGUGUCUAGGAGGGUUAGUUAAAAAAAAUUCCCCAGACUUGCUGU
This 1404-nucleotide long non-coding RNA is filed under the name Equus caballus (horse). Its description in RNAcentral is "lncRNA (ENSECAG00000032170.2)". Lineage: Eukaryota; Metazoa; Chordata; Mammalia; Perissodactyla; Equidae. The record is from RNAcentral.